AACGAACGCUGGCGGCAUGCCUAACACAUGCAAGUCGAACGAGACCUUCGGGUCUAGUGGCGCACGGGUGCGUAACGCGUGGGAACCUGCCCUUAGGUUCGGAAUAACUCCCCGAAAGGGGUGCUAAUACCGGUUAAUGUCUUCGGACCAAAGAUUUAUCGCCUUUGGAUGGUCCCGCGUUGGAUUAGCUAGUUGGUAGGGUAAAAGCCUACCAAGGCGACGAUCCAUAGCUGGUCUGAGAGGAUGAUCAGCCACACUGGGACUGAGACACGGCCCAGACUACUACGGGAGGGAGCAGUGGGGAAUAUUGGAAAAUGGGCGAAAGCCUGAUCAAGCAAUGCCGCGUGAGUGAUGAAGGCAUUAGGGUUGUAAAGCUCUUUUAACCGGGAUGAUAAUGACAGUACCGGGAGAAUAAGCACCGGCUAACUCCGUG
Molecule: ribosomal RNA, 433 nt
Filed under: uncultured bacterium
Lineage: Bacteria
Description: partial 16S ribosomal RNA
Rfam family: Bacterial small subunit ribosomal RNA
Source: RNAcentral